RNAcentral lists this small RNA (97 nucleotides) under Marmota monax (woodchuck). The record is from RNAcentral. Lineage: Eukaryota; Metazoa; Chordata; Mammalia; Rodentia; Sciuridae.
GCCAGGUACUCCUGUAAUCCCAGCCACUUAGGAGGCUGAGGCAGGAGGAUUGCAAGUUUGAGGCCAGCCUCAGCAAUUUAGCAAGAACCUGUCUCAA